UUUCUCUCUGUCUCUGUCUCUAUCUCUUCCCCUCUUUUCCUCCAUUGCUAUCUGGUAACUUGCAAGUUGAUAAAGGGUUGCUGAGUUUUUGGUGCUAUCAAAAUCCAUCAAACGAUCUCUCAUUUGCCACUUUGUUUUCGUAGGUUGAGGAACUUGAUUUUCUCUAUCCGAGUGAAUUUGUGCCUUAGGUUAUGUUUAUCCGCUAAGUGUGUAUUUUGGAAAUGCUUAUUUGAUGAAUGCACUGGUGUAAUUGAUCAGUAAAUUACUAUGAUCGGUGUGUUUCUGUGGAAGUGAUUCAUGCCGGUUCUGGGUUACGGUUUUUGGGGUUAGAUUUCUGAAUCUAUGGGAUUUGCUGACAAAGAGUCUCCGGUUUUAGGGAGGGAGGGAGGAUGCGCAAGGUAGCAAGAGCCAUUUGAAGAAGGCGCACGAUAUCCAGUCUCAGAAGAGUGCUAUGCUCUCAUGCGAGAGAGAGAGAGAGAGAGAGAGAGAGGUAAUGGUGGAGGAUGCGCAAGAUAGCUAGAGCCCUCUGAAGGAGGCACACGAUAUCCAAUCCCAGAUUAAGAUUGCUAUGAUCUUAUGAGUCCCUUACUUCAAAGAAUUAUCCGAUUUGUCGAUUUCUGCUACGAUAAUGAAGGAAUCCGGAGGAUUGAGGCCAGUCGAUCUGAGGUUUGUACUACUUUAUCCCUUCCUUUCUCUCUUUCUGUGAAUGUCUUGAAAUUGACGACGCACAUUCUGAUUCUUGCUGUGUUUGGGAGUGGAGAAAACUCUGGCUUAGCUUUGAUCACUUGAAUUUUGUCUUAGUUAGUUCAGCACAAUCUGACUACAUAAACCUACUAUUGGGCUAUUUCUAUGGAGGGUUUAUGUUUACUUUUGUUAGUCUGUUGACAGUUUGAUAUGUCUAUCAUGUUGAUGGAACUGAAUUGUGAGUUAAUUAUGGUUUAGAUUGUUGAAUUUUGAAUUUGGAAUUCCCUUCGGAAAAUGUCACAAGCAAUGUGUCUGUUGUGGCUACAUAAAUCAAAAGCGAGUGAAAGGUAAAGCUUUUCUCCCCAAACAUUCAUCGCCAGCAAUUCUAGCCAAAGCAGGUAUAUCUUUCCUCUUGCUUUCUUUCUAGUAUGUUCUAUCCCAAUUUCUCUCAGAAAGUAAGGGUUUUGGUUUGCAUUCUUGGAUUAGAUUUGUAUAUAUUCCAUUGCAUCUCAGUUUUCUCUGAUUUAAUUGCAUAAUCUGGCUCUUGAUAUUCUAACUUUGCUUUCUUUGCAUCAAAAUUGAAUCUGGCUCUUGGUUUUCUUGAUUUAAUUUUUUUUUUUUUAAUUUCUAUAAUUAGACAAAAUAAGGAUAAAACUUUCUAUUAGUAUAUGAGUAUUCGAUUCUGAUAUAUCAUUUUCCUCCAUUUGACAUGAUUUUGGAUUAUUAGGGACUCAGGUUUGCCUUCUGCGUUUUCGUUUAAAAAAUAGGCUUUUAGGUGAGUAAUUUACUAAUUUGGUUUUGAUUAUCAGCUAAGAGAAUAGAGGGUUUAAUUUGUAAUUAUUUUGAUGCAACGAAAAAUUUUAGAUUUGACAGAUUUCUCCAGUUCAGGAUGAUAAAAAUUUAGGGCUUUGAUUUGUUGAUGUGAUUUCCACGUACUCUGAAUUCAAAUAGAAAUGCAAGGAUAUAUUAGAUGUGUGAGUAAAUUUUCAAUCUUCAUCUAUGUGUUUAACCCUUAACGAUAUGUGAAUUAUUGAUUGAUAAUUUGAUAAUAUGUAUGCUAUUAUUGAUUCAGAAAAAUUAGUUUGUUAAUUUGUUGAGCUUGGUUGUUUUGGCAUGGUGAUGUUAUAAAGCUCCUCUUUAUAGUUAGGUUGAAAAUCAUGUUAAUAGAUUCUUUUUUUUCUUUUGUUGGUCCAAUCUGUAACAGAUGAGAUUUUUGUGUUUGAUUGGAAAUUUGUCAAGUAUACCUUAGAUUCUUGGUUGCAUAUUCACCUUCCCACAACUUUUACAUUGUCUCUUGAUUGGAUGGAUUUUUAUAAUUUUCAGGAUCUACGGUUGCAAUGCUUUUGAUGCAUGAAGUAAGAAGGAAGCUACUACUCUUAUGGAGCUUCUUUGGCAUGGUAAGCUGAAGUUGCAUAUCAUUUUUUUCAUACACGGAAUUCGUUAUCUUGCUAUAUUAGCAAUUAGCAGUGUCUGACAAUUGGUAAAGUGUACGAAUAAAUGUGUGGAAGUUUGAAUUGUACAAAUAAAAGUGAAUUUUAACAA
Long non-coding RNA from Pyrus x bretschneideri (Chinese white pear), 2226 nucleotides. RefSeq lists it as uncharacterized. The record is from RefSeq and is a predicted model, not a curated record. The transcript is spliced from 2 exons. Lineage: Eukaryota; Viridiplantae; Streptophyta; Magnoliopsida; Rosales; Rosaceae.